RNAcentral lists this long non-coding RNA (378 nucleotides) under Nicotiana tabacum (common tobacco). Its description in RNAcentral is "long non-coding RNA (NTAB_LNC015525)". The record is from RNAcentral. Lineage: Eukaryota; Viridiplantae; Streptophyta; Magnoliopsida; Solanales; Solanaceae.
CCUAUUGUAACCCUCUGUUUUAUUGUCCUCUGACUUGAUCUUAAAAUGUAUGCCUCUGUUGUAUGGGCGGGCUCCCAACUUCAAUACUUGAAAAUUAAUGCUGAAUGUAUUCCUCUGUUAUAUGGGCGGGCUCCCAACUUCAACACUUGAAAUGAAAAGACUGAAUGUAUGCCUCUGUUCUAUGGGCGGGCUCCCAAUCUUCAACCCUUGAAAUGUAAAGACUGAAAUGCAUGCCUCUGUUAUCUAGGCGGGCUCCCAACUUCAACACUUGAAAUGAAAAGACUGAAAUGUAUGCCUCUGUUAUCUGGGCGUGCUCCCAACUUCAAUGCUUGGAAUAAAAAGACUGAAAUGUAUGCCUCUGUUAUCUGGGCAGGAUCC